GUAAAAAAAAAUUAUAAUUUCCUAUUUCAUUUUUUUAUUCAUGAAAUGCAAAAAAAACCCAAAAAAAAAAAACAUAUUUCGUUCAUAUUUUUUUAGACCAAAAGGUGGAAGGAGCGUAUUUAUGAGCCUUUUUCAAUAGAUUAAGGGUAUUUUUGGACCUUUUCCGAAAAAAAAAAACAAAAAAACAUAUUCUGUUAGUUUAAAGGGUAUAUUUGAGCCAAAAACAAACCUUAAAGGUAUUUUUAGACCUAAAAGGUGGAUGAAAGGGUAUUUUUAGACCAAAAGAUGGAAGAAAGGUAUUUAUGAGCCUUUUUCAAUAGUUUAAUGGUAUUUUUGGACCUUUUCCGAUUUAUCAAUAAUCUCCCCAAAGUCUUUAUUAACCUCCUUGUCUAAAUAAGUGGAGCAAAAGUAUCAAUCAACUGUUCAACAGCUUCAUCACUGUCGCCUUCACUAGAUGAUCUUUUUCCCAUACUUUCAUAUUCAUCUUCACUGUCAGAUUCUCCUUCUUCUUCAUCUUCACAGAAUUCUUCAUUUUCCUCUUCAUAAGAUGAUUCAAUAGGUUCAUCCCUCGCACUAGGUUGCAUAGUAGUUGAGAUCUCUUUUGGAGCCUUGUCCUCUUCAUCAUCACGUGGUUUAGAAUCAGAGCUCUCCUGGAUUUGCAUAGCUUUAGACUCAAGAAUUUGAGUAUCAGUGUGAGUGUUUUGGAUAUUACUGGUAAAUUCUUAUUGUUGAUUCUUUUUUCAAAUGGAUUUAGUAGUUUGUGUAGGGUGCUUGGGUUGGAUAUUUGUGUGUUGUGUAGGCUUUGAGACCUUUUCUUUGUCUCUUUGAGUCUGCUUGUGAUUUUUCUGCAUUUGCAUCUUGUGUUGAUUAAUGUUUGUUUUCUCAAAGUUAGUAUCCUGAUUGCUCUUGAUCAUUCUUGUUUUUUCCUUGUUUCUUCUGCUCAUAUUUCUAGUUGACAUUAGCUUUGAGAACCUGCAUAAGAGCGUUAGCAAAGUGGCAUUGUGUUGCGUUUUCUUUUUGUGUGGUUGGAUUGAUAGUAAGAGGUGGUGAUAUCCUUGCUAUUGUUGGCUUAAUCAUUGUGUUGUUUGGGAGUCUCUUUGUUGUUGGUUUUUCUUGAGUUGAAUGAACCUGAGGCUUUUUAUUCUUCUGAUUACAUGUACCUUAUUGAUUAAAAGCUUGCUUGUAAUUCUCAGAUUGAAAUUUAAUUUGUUCCCAAACAACCUGUUUGGUGUUGUGAGUCUGAGUCUCUUUUGCUUGGUUCAUGUUUUCCCUAUUUUCAUUGCUCAUGUGGUUGCUGCCUUUUUGAGUCUUUGCGUUGCGUUUCCUAGUGACAUUUGUGAAGCCAUCAUCUUGUCCUUUAUUGUCAAUAGGUUGCAUACUUUCCUUAUUCCCAUCUUCUUGUUUUUUAGCCUUUAUUCUUGCAUCUCUAGCCUUGGUUCUGCAUUGGCUUUCCACGUGACCUUGUAGCUUGCAAUAUUGACAAUAAUGAGGAGCAUCCUCAUAUUCAAUGUCUAACCACACUCAAUCUUCUGAGUCAUCCAAUAUGUGAAACCCAAGCCAAAUUUGAUCAAGCCUUGGUUUUAAUAAAUCUAUCCAAAUUUAAUAUAGCCUUGGUUUUAAUAAAUCUAUCUCCAUUUAACUUUUGCAACAUUACCCCUGGAUUUUGAGUAUGUUUCCAUAUCUGGUGCUACAGCUAUGCCCAGUAACUUAGCAUUUUAGAGAUAAUAUCCCAUCUAAACAAAUGCCAGGGCAAUUUGUGAACUAGAAUCCAUACUGGAACUAUAGUAGUUUCCCUUUCAGGCUUAAAAUUAUGAGACCAUUUAAGAACUGUCAUGAGUGAUUCUCUAAUAUGGAUCCAAUUCUUAAAGAAGACAUGAUUGUAAUCGGUGAUGUUACCAAAAUCUAGGUAAACAUGUUGAGGAUCAAAAUAAGCCACCCUAACACGUUCUUUCAGAUGAAACUUAGAAUGAAAGGUUGCCCUAAUAUCAUCCAUAGAUGGCCUGCCGUUAAAAAAUUUCCCAAUAAUUGUAAGCUUACAUGAUUAAGCUAGAUUAACAAAGUAACCGUGUGCAUCAAAGAAGACAGCCGGCUCACUAAGGUGAGUUCCAUGAGUGAUACUCACCGGAGUAACAUUUUCCACCUGUUCGGCAAGUUUCCCUUAUACUGUGGCAGCAAAUGAAGCUUUGGCGAUGUAGCUUUCAAAAGGUUUUUUGGGAGCGGAUGUAAAAGCUUUGUUGGAGACAACUUUUGGGUUAUCCUCUCCAGAUUUAGAAUUAUCCUCAUUGUUGCCUUCAUGGGUUGGGAAUUUGGGACUUAUCAAACUUAGCGCAAAUUUUAGGGAAAUUAGAGGUCGGAACUUUAUAAUUUUGAGCAUGUAUGUUCUAAUUGGGAUUAAUUAUCUCCUGUUCCUUUUGGAUUUCACCAGAACUCUGGUUUGGGUUACCAAUGGGAUGGGUGUUGAAAGAUGUAUUAGUUGUAAAUUCUUUGUUAUUGACAGGGAGAAUGGAAACGGAAGGAGGAGUGGGUGUGGACGAAGUGGUGGCAGUAGAAGAGUUGAUAGUAGCGAUGGCCAUCUGAGUGUCUUCAUCCGGCGCUGGUGGUUGUUUGUCGGGCAUAGUACUGUAAAAUUCAAUUGUUAACAUAUAGAGAGAAAGAGACUUCCUAGAGAGAAGUCAGAGCAAAAAAAUAAUCCAUUUUGCUGAUACUGUUGAAUUUAGCUCUACUAAGAUCCACAAAACGAAUGGAUGGGAAACCCCAUCUAUCUACUGACAGAAGACCUCUAACAGGAGAAGGGAGUCACUGAAGUUCAAAUACAUACAAUUCUACAUGGCAUAUGUCUAAUCGAAAACUAUGAAGAGGGAGAUUUCAAAAAAGACAUGAACACUGAAUUCUAUUUAAGACAGUUUCUUUUAGGCAAGUGAUCAUGAAGAAAAAGAUCAAUAUGGAGUUAUCUUUAAGACUUGUUAAAAUAAAUAGGAUGAAUUAACUUAAAAUAAGAACAGACUAAAUUCCACAUUAAUGCCUCAAAGAUCUAACAAAGUUGCUGAUCUUUCUUAGAAUGCUUCUCUUAUAUUUAAUGAGUGAUGCCUUUUGUAAGAGUCACUCAACAUAGCUUUAGAGAACAAAAUUAGGUGACUGAUUUACUAGCCAAGGAAAGAGUCAGGAAGCAUGCAUCAUUAUAAAAUCUUGUUUAAUUUGUUUGCCUUGUCAGCUUAUGAGGCAAAUAAAUUAAGCAUUUCUUUUAUUAGAAAGACUACAGACUCAAAUAUUUUGGAUUGCCUAAGUGCCAUUAAUAGCAACACAUUUGUAAUGACACAUACCAUAUAACAAUAUUCUACCCCUUUCAACAAAACUAAUAGACUGAAGUUGAUUCUGCCUUUUUUGAUGACUAACUCUCAAGGCAGCAACAGUUGUCUAGGACAUAUCUUUUGUACACAGAGUAUUUAUCUGCCAUGAUUUGCUUAGACAAGAGAAAACAUCCUCUAGGUGCAAACUUGAGGAAAACAUUCCCUAUGAUGAGGUGGGAACUUAUUGCAGAAAUGUUGACUCAUGGGUUUCCUCAGAUAUUUGUUCAUCUAGUCAUGACUUGAGUGACCACCACAAAAAUUCUCAAUCAAUGUGAAUGGGGACAUGGAUACUUUGAUGGAUAAAGGGGACUACGGCAGGGAGAUUCAAUCUCCCAAAUCCUAUAAUUUGUUAUGAUGAUGGAAUGCUUAUCUAGAACUUUGGGUAAAAUGUCACAACUACAUGACUUUGUAUUUCAUCCAAUGUGUAAGGGCCUGAAAGUUACCCACCUCAUAUUAGUAGAUGAUCUUAUGAUUUCUUUGUAAAUGUAAUAAAGCAUUUGUCAAGAGAGCCAUAUAGGCAUUGCACUAUUUUUUAGAGGAACUGGUCUAGAGGCAAACCUGGAUAAAUCAAACCGAUUCAUAGUAGGGGUGUAUAACACAAUCAAAGCAAGAUUACUAGAUAUCACAGGUUUCACGUUGGGAGACUUUCCUAUGAGAUAUUUGGGAUUGCUCUUAUAACCAAAGAAGUAGAGUAAGCAAGAUUGACAUCAAUUUAUGGUUAAGAUCACUGCCAGAAUUUCUACUGCUUCUGCUAGACUUCUAUCCUAUGCAGGUAGACAUCAAGACAUGCAUUAACUCAGUUUUGGUUUUUUUGCAUAACUUCUGGGACCAGUAUUUAUACUCCCUGAAAGUGUUCUGAAAUGCGUGAAUAAAUUGCAUUGAGACUAAUUAUGGGGGAGUUCAGAAACAAAGAGGAAAGUGGAAUUAGUUUCCUAGGAGAGAGUAUGUAAGCCCAAAAAGAAUGGAGGCCUCAAUUUAAGGAACUAUAAACUUUGGAAUGCAGCCUCUGUGGGCAAACAGACAUGGUUGAUAAGUGAGAAGGCAGAUCUACUUUGAGUAAAAUGGGUCCAUAAAGAGUAUAUAAAGAAAGAUCUCAAGACUCUGGGAAUAUACUGCUCCCGAUAUUCUUCCUCCGUCACCUCUAUCUCCAAAUCAUCAGUUGAUAUGAUGAAUUGAUAUCAUUACCAAUGAUUACAAUUUAAUCAGUAUUUACUAAAAUGAAAAAAUAUUUUCCACGUUGAUGAGUAAAAAGGGACUGCAUGGGAUUGAAGAAAACCGACAUCUAGUAAAGCAGGAGAAAAUUUGGCAAACCCAUUUCGGGAGGCUUGUUUAAUUCCAUAAAGGGACUGCUUCAGGCGAACUGAGUUUUUCCACCUCUUCUCUAACUUGAAGAGCUGCGCCUAAGACUUUGAAGCGAAGGGAGGUUGUCGCGAGCCUUGCCUAUAUUUUUGUGAUUUCAUUCCCCUCAUGUGGAUAGUAGCUAGUAUUGGAGGAAACUUUAUAAACAUAAGAAUGUUAUGGCAGCCUGGUAGUAGAUCUGUAGCUAGUAUUAAUUAGAUAAAAACAUACUCUUAUAAUUAAUGCUAUUUUUUGUGUUCUUUAGGCUAUUAAUUAGUAUUUACCUUUUUUUAAGAACAUUAAAAAAAAGUAAAUUUAGGUAUACGCACUUUGCACGUGUCCCUAUUCGAUCACUAUAUAGUUAUAAAUGAAAUAAGUAGCAGUAAUAAUGUAGUCAAUUAUAAAAUAAAAAAUUUAAAAAGUGUAUAUUCUUGAAACUGAUUAAUACUAAUCACACUUAGCUAGAUGAAGAAAGAAAGAAAUCUGUCAUACAAAAACAUUCAGACAUAAAAUGCAAGUACUGAUUGGAUAAAUUCUAAAAUAAAAUAUUGAUGAAAAAUAUAUAUUUAAACUACACAUAUAUUUACCAAUAAAUAUAGUACAUCGCCGAUUUUCAAAAGUUUUACGUGGACACAACUAUAAUUGAAUCCAAUGUUCACCAUAAGCUAAAAUCCAAAUAUUAGUACGACUAAUAUGAAAAUAAUCUUAAUAAUUUCCUAAUGCAGAUAUGGUGGCCUUCGACAUACUUACAAUUUCAUUGAUAUUGUUAGCUUUGCUCUGUUUCCUUUCCAACAAAUGAUUAUUAAAUUUUUAUCAUAAAUAAACUAUCAUUAUGUUUUUCCAACAAAGAUUACUAUUUCUAAAACUAAUGGUACAUACUUAGAAUCUAUAGAAAUAUUUGUCGUAGAAAUUUUAAAAAAUAAAAAAUAAUAAUUUAAUAACCAAGCUUUUUAAAUAAAUACUUAUCGCUUGAAAUUUUAAGAAUAGCAAAUGAUUUCUAUGAAAGGAAAAAAAAGAGGUAAAAUUUGCCUUGUGUGAUUAAAUACAAAAAAAAAUAAAAAAAAAUUGUGGGGUUUCCUUGUAGAAAAACGUAACCUAGCUUCCUUCUAAUUUUUAUAAUAAUAUAAAGUAUUCUUACGUUUAUAAUUUUGUGGUUUGGUUGAUUUUGGAUUGUCGUAGGUUUUUUCUUUCUUAACGAUUUAUUUAAAGUAAAAUUUUAUUUGGUUUUAGAAACCUAAAUAUUAUGAUAACUUCUUCGAUCGUUUAAAUAAGGAAUGAUUUAAUAAAAAGUUGUUUUUAUAGUCCUAAACAUUAGAAAAAUUAAUUUACAAUUAUGUUCAAUGUGAACUCUAUUUUUAAAGGAUUAAAAAAGCAAAACUUUUGCUAAGGUUCAACGUGCUUGGCCUUCAACAUACUUACAAUUCACUUGCAAUAUUAAGUACCUUAAUCUAUUUUUUUUUUCUUCUAAUUUUUCUGUAUGUCCUCAUUGACUUCUCUCAAAGCUAAUAAUCCAUAAAAAGUCUUUAUAAUUUCCAACAUAUUUCUAGCUUUGCUCUGUUCCCUUUCCAAUAAAUGAUUAUUAAAUUUUUAUCGUAAAUAAAUGAUCAUUAUCUUUUUUCAACAAUGAUUACAAUUUCCAAAGCUAAUGGAACAAAUUUUAAAAAUAGAAAAAUAAUUUAAUAACCAAGCUUUUUAAACAAACUUAUCGAUUGAAAUUUUAAGAAUAGCAAAUAGUUCCUAUGAAAGGAAAUAAAGAGGCAAAAUUGGCCUUGUGUGAUUAAACAUAAGGACGAAGAACAAAACAAUUAUUGUGGAGUGUCGUUGUCGGAAAAGGGAACUUUCCUUCUACUUUUUAUAAUAAUAUAAAUUACUCUUAUGUCCAUGAUUUUAUAAUUUUGUGGUUUAGUCAAUUUUGUACUGUCAUGAGUUUUUUCCCUUUUCAACGUUUUAUCUAAAAUAAAAUUUUAAUUGAUUUUAAAAUCCUAAAUAUUAGGACUUGUUUGUUCGUUCGAAUAAGGAAUGAUUUAAUAUUUUUUUAUAAUCCUAAAUAUUAGAAAAUUAAUUAAUUUACAAUUCUAUUCAAUGUGGCCUCUACUUUAAAGGUUAUUUUUCAAUUAUUUUUUUGUUCUUAUAUACAUUUUGUAUUUAUUGACACGAUGUACAUGUGCAACACACGUACACUAAAUGACUAUUAAUAUUAUAAAAAAUAAUUAAAUAAUAACUUGAUGAAAAUAGGAAAUGACAAUUUUACUCUUUGUAACUUAAGUCUAUAGAAUUUUUAUUUGUUCACUAAACGUUUAUCAAAAUUAUAGGUAAGCUAAGUGAUGAGUUUAUGGACAGUGUUUCAUAGACGGCAAAUGAUUUUGUGAUAAAUUGUUUGCUUUAUAAUGAUUCUGGUAGAUUGACUAUGGAUGAACUAAUUAAUCAUCCGUUUAUUCGGAAUGCAACUUGACCCUAAAUUAAAGGAGAUUAUGCCACAAAUAAAGCAUUGAGUAUGGAAAAAUAUUUCGAACCAAAUAUUGAGAUCUGCUCUCCCAGUUGGUAUCUUCUUCCUUAAACUUUAAACAAGGAAAACAAUAUUUUUCAUCUAAUUUGAAGUCCGAUUUUUUAGUCAAAUAAGGAAAGAUUUAAUAAAUAAAUUGUAGAGUCUUUAAAGGCAAAAAGUUCAAUCAACAUUAAGAACCUUCAUGCUUUUAAAAUAAUUUGGAUCAUCUCUCAAAAAUAUUUCAUUAUUGUACCACGUUUUUUAUUUUGAAAUCAAUUACUAUAAUAUAAUUCUCAGAAUCUAUAAUUGAAAAUAGUGUUCCAAUACCAUCUUAACUGCAUUUAUUAGAAAAUAACACAAGUAGCUGUAGCUACAAAACCUCUCACGUUAGAAGUAUUUGUAAGCUUACACUCCCAGAGCAAAUACAUAUUAAAGCAAUUAAAUGUUGUUUUCAGAAAUCAUCUUAAUGCAUAAGCUCAACAGAUUCUGUUUCAUAUCGAUUAUGCGACAUACAUAUUUUAAUGAACUUAUAAAAUUUAAUGCGACGAUGACUGCAAAUCAAUUAAAUUAUUAAUUAACAUAAAAUACUAUUUCAAAAAUCAAAACAAAGGUAUAUUGAUUACCUCACAAUUUGUUAACUCUGCCCAGCCAUACAACCUUAAAUUCAAUUUAAAUUCUUGUGAUCACAUGGCCUGAUCUUACCAAAGAAGAAGUGUAGAAAAGCAAAGGAAAUCAUAAAAAAUUUCAUGCAAAACAAGUAUAAUAAGAGAAAGAAAGCACUAACUCAUGUGCAUAAGAACGAAAAUCCACACACUAUUCUUUAAUAAUUCUUUGAUAUGAGAAAAACGAUAGAUUCACUUUUUUUUUUGCUUCCUAUUAAGUACAAAAACUCAUGAAUCAUAAACAUCCAAGUCAACUUUCUUUAUAGCAUAUGCCUUCCUAAAGCUGUGAUUCUUCUAUAUUUGAUGUACUUGAGCCUUCAAAACAAUAACAACAACAAAAUAUCCAGUGUAUUUCACAAGUGAUAUUUGAACCUUCAAAACCAAAAGCAAUAAUGAAUAAUAAUUUAUGUAAAAUAUAAUUAUUUUCAUAAGUUGUAGACUCAAGCUUAAAAAGGUAUCCAAGAAGAGCUAAAAUGUAACGACCUGCUUGGUCAUUAUAGUCUUUUCGACAUUUUUGACUCUUCCCCGAGCUUGUUAGCUCACUUUUGACUCGAGAGGACCGUUGACACGUUUCCCGAGGUAUUUAGAUAUGAUUUGGGAGACUUUUUGGGAAUUUGGGCUUUAAGCGAAAAGAGUGGACUCAAAGUUGACUUUUGAGUAAACGGACCUUUUUUGGGAAUCCGUCCAUUCCGAGAGGUCCGGAUGGUCUUUUAGAACUUGUGUGCAUAAUUGGUCCGGUUCUCAAUGCACUCAAGUGCACUUUAAGACUUGGAUUGGGAAGUUAGAUUUGAGGUAUCAGGGGUUGACUCGGUCAACUAGACCUCCGUCGGGAAUUCCGAGGCCACGGGUGCGUUCGUAGAAUGUUUUUAUGUGUGCCUGCAUAUAUGGUAUGUGAGCAGAUGGCCUCGAGUGAUAGUCUGGAUUUUGGGUUGAGAUUGUGAUUUAAAUUAAGUAGGACCAAGACAGAAUACUUGGAGUGCAGGUUCAGUGGCCUACCGCGUGAGGCUGACGAGGAAGUGAGGCUUGGUACCCAGGCCAUUCAAAAGAAAGGAAGUUUCAAGUAUCUUCGGUCUAUUAUACAGGGAGAUGGGGAUAUCGACGACGAUGUUUCACAUCGUAUUGGUGCAGGGUGGAUGAAAUCGAGGCUCGCCUCCGGAGUGCUGUGUGAUAAGAAAGUGCCACUAAAACUUAAAGGCAAGUUCUACAAAGUGGUGGUUAGACCAACUUUAUUGUACGGGGCGGAGUGUUGGCCAGUCAAGAAAUUUCACGUUCAGAAGAUGAAAGUCGCGGAAAUGCGAAUGCUGCGGUGGAUGUGUGGGCACACUAGGAGGGAUAGAAUUAGGAAUGAAGAUAUCCGAGACAAGGUGGGAGUGGCAUCGGUGGAGGACAAGAUGCGGGAAGCGAGGCUGAGAUGGUUUGGGCAUGUGAAGAGGAGAGACACAGAUGCUCCAGUGCAGAGGUGUGAGAGGUUGGCUAUGGAUUGUUUCAGGAGAGGUAAAGGGAGGCCAAAGAAGUAUUGGGGAGAGGUAAUUAGACAAGAUAUGGCACAGUUUCAGCUCACCGAGGACAUGGCCUUAGAUAGGAGGUUAUGGAGGACUCAGAUUAGGAUAGAAGCCUAGGUGGCUUAUCCUUUCACCAUAGUAGUUGUAGUUUUGCUCAUUUGUUUAUUGCCAUUUGAUUUCUGCAUUUGAUUGCUGCUUAUAUUUGUUGGGCCGUUGUACUUUGGUUAUCUUAUUUAUCUAUAGUAGUUAAUGCUCCUUUCUUUCCGGACUGUUCUACCAUGACUUUCUCGCUUUUGUUAUUCCUUGUUUUCAUAUUGUUUUCGAUAUGCUUAGCCCUAUCUGACCUUUUGUCUUGUUUUCUUCUCUUGCUUUCCUCUCUUGAGCCGAGGGUCUUUCGGAAACAGCCGCCCUACCUUUCAAGGUGGGGGUUAGGUCUGCGUACACUCUACCCUCCCCAGACCCCACAUGGUGGGAUUAUACUAGGCUUGUUGUUGCUGUUGUUGUUGUUGGCGGUGGUGUCUGGUGCCUGCUCUGGCGGCACCAGAUUCGUAGCAGCGGCACCGCUAUAGAGGUUGCCAGGCGGCAGAAGCGGCUAGUACAUUUGUUGGCUGACCGUUGUGGCGGUCUGAGUGGCCGUUGAGGCGGGACCGCUGUCAUGGAAGCGGUAUCGAGCAGAUUAUUUCAUUAAAUGAGUAUUAAAAGCCCUAAGUCAGUCAUUCUUUGUUAUUUCGACUUUGGAGUUUUUGAGAGAUUUUCAAGGUGAUUCUUGGGAGAAACUCUUGGUGACUUUCAUUAUCUCGAGGCUUGAAGGAAAGGAAAGACUAAGGUGUGAUUGUUGGAAACUUUGUUGUUCGGCCUUCCAGAGUUCCAGGUUGGUUUGACCUAUACUCCUCGUGGCUGAUAGUAGUUCGAGGAUUGUUGUUUCGAGUCUUAUAGGGUGAGCACGAGGACGUUUGCCGCCUUGAAGAUUCUUCUUUAUUUAUGUCUUACUUGAUAUUCUGAGACAUAUUGAGACAAUUGAUGUAUUAUUAUUACUUCCAGACUUGUAGAUUCUAGUUAGAUGCUCUUGUAUGACCAGACCAGCUACUGGGGUGGUUUUGAUGUAUUUCCGCAUUAUUUAUCUAUUUAUAUGUCAGACUUACG
Molecule: long non-coding RNA, 10477 nt
Organism: Lycium barbarum (goji berry)
Lineage: Eukaryota; Viridiplantae; Streptophyta; Magnoliopsida; Solanales; Solanaceae
Exons: 3
Source: RefSeq, a predicted model, not a curated record